GAGAGAUGUGGGCUGGAUUUUUCUGUGCUGCAUACUUGUGCAGGGAAUAUUAGCCCUUAUGGGAGAGUAGUGUUCUGCUCUAAUAGUGUUGAAUGAGUAUUUAUAUUUAGUUAUUUCAUUUUUGUGCCUAGUUCUGGAUUUCCUAAUCUUCUUUAUUUUACCUUUGCUAUGUCCUGAAAUAAAUGUUUAUCUUGCUUUUCCAUUGCUCCUGAAUUACCUAAAAAUGUCAUGAAGAGCAAAGAGCAGAGACAGCUAAUCCUGAAAUGUGCUGGUGAGAUCCAGAGGAGAGAGAAAUAUAAAGUGGGGACAGAGGAACCAUUGUUGUCCAGUGGAAGCAAUAGUGCUUUUUUUUUUGUCUUUUUUUUUUUUUAAUUAGUAACAGUGAUGCAUCUGUGGUUCGCCCAAAUUUGCUCAUUUAAUAGAGUGUACAAACACAAAUACCUUUCCUUACAGAGAGUGCCCAAACUACUAGACUACUGAUGCUCUUGGAUUUGAGUGGUGUUUGUACAAAUCGUUAUCCAUGGCCUGCCAGCUUUACACUUCAUGCAUAAUGGAGCCACUAGUGAAAGAUUCAGCAAUGUUGAGAGCAAGCUCAGCCCACCCCUUAUCAGUGGGUUGUGAACUGGGAGGAAAGGUGUAUGUUCAUGACACACCUACAGUGACAAUUACCAGCUGUCACAAGGACGUUUAGAUGCAAUUUUUAGGCCAUGGAAAGGAAAGCAAGCUGUUUGCCUGCAUUAUACAGAACAAGAGUCAAACAGCUGGGUAAUCCCAGGAGCAGGAGGUGUCCUUCAUCUUUACAGCUGCUUCUGAUAUAACUUAGAUUGGAGCCAAGGGUGUAGGUUUGGGAUGGGAAAAAGUUUUAUUUCUCUUAUCUUCCUCUUCCCUUUCCCUCUCCCUCCCUCUCCCNNNNNNNNNNNNNNNNNNNNUGGCUACAGAACCAAAUAUGCAAAAAGUGGUAUGUGCCUAAUUUUAUUAGUAAGACCUUUCCUGACAAUUAUGGAAAAAGGAUGUUGCUCUAUAAUGAUACAGGUCUGCAGCACACAACACAUAUAUACAAUGCAGUCUGGUAUUUAAGAAACCACCAGUAGACACAACACUGAAACAUAUUUGAACAGCCUAGGUUAACAAGAAGCUGAAAAUCUGAUUGAAUUAUCGAUGUGCAUACAGAGCAAGAGCUGGGAGGAGAGCUGAUAAGAGGCUGGCAAGAAGGGGAUAAGACUCCAAGUCCUGCCCUCAUGUGGUUUUGUUUUGUGGCCAGAGCCCUGGCUCCUGUGAUAUGCCCAUCUCCAUGGACAAACAGGUGUUGCUACCUCUCCAAGCUCCUGGGCUUUGGAUUAUCAGGGGGCAUUUGCCUAAAUUCUCCAGAAGAGUCUCAGAAGAGCCAUCCUGCGCAGAAGACAUAGAACAAGAUUUAUUUAUUGAUUUUAAAGAAGUAUCUGAAAAUUAUGAUAGUAGGUAAUGGACAAAUUUAAAUUAAGAAAUUAAAUUGGGCUACUGAGGACACUAUAAUGUUAGAAUAAAUUGGGCAAGCAGUUGCUGUCUCA
This is a long non-coding RNA of Anser cygnoides (Swan goose), 1547 nucleotides long. Lineage: Eukaryota; Metazoa; Chordata; Aves; Anseriformes; Anatidae. The record is from Ensembl.